This 253-nucleotide unclassified non-coding RNA is filed under the name uncultured Moraxellaceae bacterium. RNAcentral describes it as "contains 16S-23S intergenic spacer region". It matches the Rfam family "Bacterial small subunit ribosomal RNA", at positions 524 to 776 of the family's 1533-position model. The record is from RNAcentral. Lineage: Bacteria; Pseudomonadati; Pseudomonadota; Gammaproteobacteria; Moraxellales; Moraxellaceae.
UACAGAGGGUCCGAGCGUUAAUCGUAUUUACUGGGCGUAAAGCGUGCGUAGGCGGCAUGUUAAGUCGGUUGUGAAAUCCCCGAGCUUAACUUGGGAAUUGCAUUCGAUACUGGGAAGCUAGAGUAUGGGAGAGGAUUGUAGAAUUCUAGGUGUAGCGGUGAAAUGCGUAGAGAUCUGGAGGAAUACCGAUGGCGAAGGCAGCCAUCUGGCCUAAUGCUGACGCUGAGGUACGAAAGCAUGGGGAGCAAACAGG